UGCAGUCGACGGUGAAGCCCUUCGGGGUGGAUCAGUGGCGAACGGGUGAGUAACACGUGAGCAACCUGCCCCUGGCUCUGGGACAACCACUGGAAACGGUGGCUAAUACCGGAUACGACUCACCUCGGCAUCGAGUGUGGGUGGAAAGUUUUUCGGCUGGGGAUGGGCUCGCGGCCUAUCAGCUUGUUGGUGGGGUAAUGGCCUACCAAGGCGACGACGGGUAGCCGGCCUGAGAGGGCGACCGGCCACACUGGGACUGAGACACGGCCCAGACUCCUACGGGAGGCAGCAGUGGGGAAUAUUGCACAAUGGGCGAAAGCCUGAUGCAGCGACGCCGCGUGAGGGAUGACGGCCUUCGGGUUGUAAACCUCUUUCAGCUCCGAAGAAGCGAAAGUGACGGUAGGAGCAGAAGAAGCACCGGCUAACUACGUGCCAGCAGCCGCGGUAAUACGUAGGGUGCAAGCGUUGUCCGGAAUUAUUGGGCGUAAAGAGCUCGUAGGCGGUGUGUCGCGUCUGCUGUGAAAACUCAGGGCUCAACUCUGAGCUUGCAGUGGGUACGGGCACACUAGAGUGCUGUAGGGGAGACUGGAAUUCCUGGUGUAGCGGUGAAAUGCGCAGAUAUCAGGAGGAACACCGGUGGCGAAGGCGGGUCUCUGGGCAGUUACUGACGCUGAGGAGCGAAAGCAUGGGGAGCGAACAGGAUUAGAUACCCUGGUAGUCCAUGCCGUAAACGUUGGGCGCUAGGUGU
This 748-nucleotide ribosomal RNA is filed under the name Kineococcus sp. Its description in RNAcentral is "bacterial SSU rRNA". It matches the Rfam family "Bacterial small subunit ribosomal RNA", at positions 56 to 823 of the family's 1533-position model. Lineage: Bacteria; Bacillati; Actinomycetota; Actinomycetes; Kineosporiales; Kineosporiaceae. The record is from RNAcentral.